Molecule: ribosomal RNA, 497 nt
Filed under: uncultured bacterium
Lineage: Bacteria
Description: partial 16S ribosomal RNA
Rfam family: Bacterial small subunit ribosomal RNA
Source: RNAcentral
GAUGAACGCUGGCGGCGUGCCUAAUACAUGCAAGUCGAGCGAACGGACGAGAAGCUUGCUUCUCUGAUGUUAGCGGCGGACGGGUGAGUAACACGUGGAUAACCUACCUAUAAGACUGGGAUAACUUCGGGAAACCGGAGCUAAUACCGGAUGAUAUUUUGAACCGCAUGGUUCAAAAGUGAAAGACGGUCUUGCUGUCACUUAUAGAUGGAUCCGCGCUGCAUUAGCUAGUUGGUAAGGUAACGGCUUACCAAGGCAACGAUGCAUAGCCGACCUGAGAGGGUGAUCGGCCACACUGGAACUGAGACACGGUCCAGACUCCUACGGGAGGCAGCAGUAGGGAAUCUUCGGCAAUGGGCGAAAGCCUGACGGAGCAACGCCGCGUGAGUGAUGAAGGUCUUCGGAUCGUAAAACUCUGUUAUUAGGGAAGAACAGAUGUGUAAGUAACUGUGCACAACUUGACGGUACCUAAUCAGAAAGCCACGGCUAACUACGUG